Molecule: non-coding RNA, 91 nt
Filed under: human gut metagenome
Description: SAM riboswitch (S box leader)
Rfam family: SAM riboswitch aptamer (S box leader)
About the family: The SAM riboswitch is found upstream of a number of genes which code for proteins involved in methionine or cysteine biosynthesis in Gram-positive bacteria.
Source: RNAcentral
AUUAUCAAGAGUGGACGAGAGAAUCGGCUCUAUGACUCCACAGCAACCUGUAAAAAGAAGGUGCUAAUACCGACAAAGUUAUUUUAAGAAA